CCAUAGCCCCGAUAGCAGCGACAUCCUUUUCCUUUUUCUUAAAAAGAAAAAAAUAUAAUCCUUUGACAAGCUCAGGAUAAACUACUAGCGGGAUAAGCU
This 99-nucleotide small RNA is filed under the name Epilithonimonas hungarica. Its description in RNAcentral is "Chryseobacterium hungaricum Flavo-1 RNA". Lineage: Bacteria; Pseudomonadati; Bacteroidota; Flavobacteriia; Flavobacteriales; Weeksellaceae. The record is from RNAcentral.